Molecule: ribosomal RNA, 180 nt
Filed under: uncultured Glomeromycotina
Lineage: Eukaryota; Fungi; Glomeromycota
Description: partial small subunit ribosomal RNA
Source: RNAcentral
GAAUCAGUACGCUGGUCGUGCCUUCGGUAUGUACUGGUGUCACUGGUUUCUCCCUUCUGAAGAACCAUCAUGCCAUUCACUUGGUGUGGUGGGAAAUCAGGACUGUUACUUUGAAAAAAUUAGAGUGUUCAAAGCAGGCAAUCGAGCCUUGAAUACUUCAGCAUGGGAUAAUGGAACAGG